GUCUAUGGCCAUACCACCCUGAACACACCCUAUCUUGCCUGAUCUUGAAAGCUAAGCAGGGUCAGGCCUCCUUAGUACUUAGGUGGGAGAUCUGUCUCCAGGUACUAGUGUCAGAAU
RNAcentral lists this ribosomal RNA (117 nucleotides) under Carlito syrichta (Philippine tarsier). The record is from RNAcentral. Lineage: Eukaryota; Metazoa; Chordata; Mammalia; Primates; Tarsiidae.